GCCUUUGUGUCUGCGCUUUGAGAGUGCGUAUAUUUGUGUGCGCGCGAGUGCGUUUUGUGUGCGUGCGUAUGUAUUGCAUAAGGCCGGUAGAGUUUUACUCGCAAUAAAACUCUUCCAAUUUGGUGCAGCGAGUGUUGCCGCCUGAAAGCCGAGUUUGGUUUCAAGCCAACCUGGACAACUGCUGUAUGAGGCGCUGUUUCUCAGGAGGAUCAGUGGGAAGGCGUCAGGUCAUGCAGAUGAUAGCAUCAAUUUCACAAUGCCCAGCCUUGGUGCCUUCCAUUAAGAGCAAGCCACUUGCGUUCGCCUUCAGGCAGAUGGUUGAUGUCUUCUAGGAAGCAGUUGGGAAGACUACAUUGAUGCAAGAUUCCAGCAAUGCCAUGCGCUGCAUUUAUUGGUCAAGAUGCUCAGAGAAUGGAGUCCCUGCACCUCGUGGUGAAACGUGAACAUUUUCU
Molecule: long non-coding RNA, 452 nt
Filed under: Dermacentor andersoni
Lineage: Eukaryota; Metazoa; Arthropoda; Arachnida; Ixodida; Ixodidae
Description: uncharacterized LOC126516521
Source: RNAcentral